This 1849-nucleotide long non-coding RNA is filed under the name Anas platyrhynchos platyrhynchos (common mallard). RNAcentral describes it as "lncRNA (ENSAPLG00000018971.1)". The record is from RNAcentral. Lineage: Eukaryota; Metazoa; Chordata; Aves; Anseriformes; Anatidae.
CUUGAAGGGAAAUGAAUUUGUAGGCUGUCCCUACAAAUGGGUGGGUGUGGAAAGGAUAGAAAUGGAUUUUGAACAGACUGCAGAUGUUUUCUAGACUGAUGGCGAGCUGCAAAGCUAUGAGCCAAGUCUGUCAAUAGGAAAAGAUGAAGGAGGCCUUUGUAGGAAGAACACUGCCCUUGAGAUACAUGUAAAAACAGCAAGAGUUGCGGUGUGCGAGAGGACAGAAAUAACAGCGGGGGCUCAAAAAAAGCAGCGGAUGUAAAAAGGGUGGAGGCAUGGCCCUGCUGAUGACAGCAAUGCUUGGUGUGGCCAAGGCUCAUGCGGCCACAGAAAGCCCACAGGACAGCUCCCAGAUGCACUGCAAGCAUCUGUCCCACCAUCCCCAGCUCACAGCAAAGCAGACACCUGAAGCAGAAGCUGCUCCCCAAAAGCAGCGCCCCAGAAGAUGCUGGGGCAGGUGCCAUGGGCAAGGCUGUCUCCUUCUGGCCCUGCCGUCCUGCUCCUGGCCCUCUGUGAGUUGGGACAUUGUUGGGUGUGGGGGCUGAGGGCUGGAGGGUUGCUGCUGGGGGCAGGACAGGCACAUGAUGGGCACAGGGGAGGAUGGGGACAGCGUGUGUGGGGCAGGUGUGCAGCACCGUGGGGCAGAGUGUGUUUUGGGAAGGCAGGAUGGGGAUGGCUUCCUCCAAUUAUAAAACACAUCUGAGCAAGGGGCACACUUCUCCAGCACCAUAAAUUGUCUGGAGUGUUGCUCUGAGGCUCUAGGACUGCUGAGGUCUUUACGGAGCUAUGGGACUUACCUGGAACAAGGAAUCCACGCAAAAUAGGAUUGGAAGUGGCAUUGUUUGAGGGGGUAUUGAAGAGGUACAGCAUGAGAACAUGCAGGUGUGAUGGUGGCUGCUUAGCAGUGAGGAUGUGGGCAGGGGCAUCAGGAUGAGCCAGGACACUGCUCCUCUCAGCAAAUCCCUCUCUGCCCCUUGGUACAGGUGGCAGCAUGACCUCCCAGGACAUCUGCAGCUUCCCAGGUACUCGUGAGUCCUUCCCUCCCAGAGCCAGGGCACUUGGAAGCCCAACCACUGUGAGCUCUGCCCUAUGGCAGCCCUUCACUGCUGUGUCUCCUGCAGGGGAUCUCCGAGCUCCUGCUCUCCAAAUGAACUCAACUUCUGCUCAGCCAGGUACCACAGUUGUGCUCCAGUGUAUUCUCCAUGUGGUGUCAAGUGUAAGACAAGUCAUUUUCUGCAAGGAUGGGAUGGAGGUGUACAGUCUGAAAGCCCAGCAAGGGCAGCUGAGAUACUCCGUGGUCCUGAACAUCACGUCAAGGAGCGCAGGAAGAUAUACAUGUGGGUACCAGCAGAGGAAUGAGAUGAAACAGAGGAGGAGCUCUGCCCUCAGUGCUGGCCGCAUCCUGAAUGUCCCUGGCAAUGUGGCCAGCACCCCAGAAAGGCCAUCAUCCCCAGGUGAGUGAUUCCCUCCUGCACCACCGGGACCUCCAGGUCCCGCUGUCCCUGCAGCACUACCUCUGCUGCAGACAUGGGGCUGUGCAGGGCCCAUGCACAGAGAAGAAGUGCUGGGGAUGUGGAUGGAUGCUGAGUCAAGCCAGGGAUGCUCCAAGGUCUGCCCUGUACAUUGAUGAGCCUAUGGCAGGGCAGGUAGAUUAAUUGUCAUGAGCUGAGCCGUAAUGUACGUGUGAGCAAAGGGACAAUAUUUCUGGAACUAAAAAUGUAGCUGGAGCCAUAUUGUGAAAGGAGUGAUAUUGGAGUGCUCAGGGAUCCAGGGACCUCUCCCUGGAAAAACAAACCAACCAAAAAUGGCUGGGGAUGGACACAGGGCAGAACACCUCUACUGCAGACCU